Aotus nancymaae (Ma's night monkey) is the source of this 114-nucleotide small nuclear RNA. Its record names the gene U5. It matches the Rfam family "U5 spliceosomal RNA". Rfam says of the family: U5 RNA is a component of both types of known spliceosome. The precise function of this molecule is unknown, though it is known that the 5' loop is required for splice site selection and p220 binding, and that both the 3' stem-loop and the Sm site are important for Sm protein binding and cap methylation. NCBI's taxonomy places the organism in Eukaryota, Metazoa, Chordata, Mammalia, Primates, Aotidae. The record is from Ensembl.
CUGCUUGGUUUGCUCUUCAGGUCUUGUAAAUCUUUCACUUUUUAUAAAAGAUUUCUGGAGAAGGAAGCACUCUGGAAGCCUUAACUGAUUUUUGUGGUUCUGCUAAAGGAAAAC